CUAGCUCCAGGCUUAACACACGCAAGUCGAGGGGCAGCACGGUCUUAGCUUCGCUAAGGCCGAAGGCGACCGGCGCACGGGUGAGUAACACGUAUCCAACCUGCCGUCUACUCUUGGACAGCCUUCUGAAAGGAAGAUUAAUACAAGAUGGCAUCAUGAGUCCGCAUGUUCACAUGAUUAAAGGUAUUCCGGUAGACGAUGGGGAUGCGUUCCAUUAGAUAGUAGGCGGGGUAACGGCCCACCUAGUCUUCGAUGGAUAGGGGUUCUGAGAGGAAGGUCCCCCACAUUGGAACUGAGACACGGUCCAAACUCCUACGGGAGGCAGCAGUGAGGAAUAUUGGUCAAUGGGCGAGAGCCUGAACCAGCCAAGUAGCGUGAAGGAUGACUGCCCUAUGGGUUGUAAACUUCUUUUAUAAAGGAAUAAAGUCGGGUAUGGAUACCCGUUUGCAUGUACUUUAUGAACAAGGAUCGGCUAACUCCGUGCCAGCAGCCGCGGUAAUACGGAGGAUCCGAGCGUUAUCCGGAUUUAUUGGGUUUAAAGGGAGCGUAGAUGGAUGUUUAAGUCAGUUGUGAAAGUUUGCGGCUCAACCGUAAAAUUGCAGUUGAUACUGGAUAUCUUGAGUGCAGUUGAGGCAGGCGGAAUUCGUGGUGUAGCGGUGAAAUGCUUAGAUAUCACGAAGAACUCCGAUUGCGAAGGCAGCCUGCUAAGCUGCAACUGACAUUGAGGCUCGAAAGUGUGGGUAUCAAACAGGAUUAGAUACCCUGGUAGUCCACACGGUAAACGAUGAAUACUCGCUGUUUGCGAUAUACUGCAAGCGGCCAAGCGAAAGCGUUAAGUAUUCCACCUGGGGAGUACGCCGGCAACGGUGAAACUCAAAGGAAUUGACGGGGGCCCGCACAAGCGGAGGAACAUGUGGUUUAAUUCGAUGAUACGCGGGGAACCUUACCCGGGCUUAAAUUGCAGAUGAAUUACGGUGAAAGCCGUAAGCCGCAAGGCAUCUGUGAAGGUGCUGCAUGGUUGUCGUCAGCUCGUGCCGUGAGGUGUCGGCUUAAGUGCCAUAACGAGCGCAACCCUUGUUGUCAGUUACUAACAGGUUCCGCUGAGGACUCUGACAAGACUGCCAUCGUAAGAUGUGAGGAAGGUGGGGAUGACGUCAAAUCAGCACGGCCCUUACGUCCGGGGCUACACACGUGUUACAAUGGGGGGUACAGAGGGCCGCUACCACGCGAGUGGAUGCCAAUCCCCAAAACCUCUCUCAGUUCGGACUGGAGUCUGCAACCCGACUCCACGAAGCUGGAUUCGCUAGUAAUCGCGCAUUCAGCCACGGCGCGGUGAAUACGUUUCCCGGGCCU
This 1353-nucleotide ribosomal RNA is filed under the name uncultured bacterium. RNAcentral's name for it is "bacterial SSU rRNA". It matches the Rfam family "Bacterial small subunit ribosomal RNA", at positions 36 to 1381 of the family's 1533-position model. The record is from RNAcentral.